AUCCAGCUGACGAGUCCUAAAUAGGCCGAAAUGCGCAUCCUGGAU
Schistosoma mansoni is the source of this 45-nucleotide non-coding RNA. Lineage: Eukaryota; Metazoa; Platyhelminthes; Trematoda; Strigeidida; Schistosomatidae. The record is from Rfam.